Molecule: transfer RNA, 92 nt
Filed under: Hadesarchaea archaeon YNP_N21
Lineage: Archaea; Methanobacteriati; Hadarchaeota (SeqCode); Hadarchaeia (SeqCode)
Description: tRNA-OTHER
Rfam family: tRNA
About the family: Transfer RNA (tRNA) molecules are approximately 80 nucleotides in length. Their secondary structure includes four short double-helical elements and three loops (D, anti-codon, and T loops).
Source: RNAcentral
GGGGCCGUGGGGUAGCUUGGUCUAGCCUCCCAGCUAAUCUUCAGGUCUGGAAUGGGGUGCUGGUGACCCGAGUUCAAAUCUCGGCGGCCCCA